CCCCUCGACGAACACGAGCUCAUCCCCUACAUCGGGGCUGGACUCGACAUAGAGUACCAGCCACUCGUCUCCGCCCUCGACGCCUGUGUGGAACCGGUCACCCUUGACGAACUGUUUGCUCAAAUGAGCAACUUCGAUC
Hordeum vulgare subsp. vulgare (domesticated barley) is the source of this 139-nucleotide non-coding RNA. The record is from Rfam. NCBI's taxonomy places the organism in Eukaryota, Viridiplantae, Streptophyta, Magnoliopsida, Poales, Poaceae.